Molecule: ribosomal RNA, 1419 nt
Filed under: Staphylococcus chromogenes
Lineage: Bacteria; Bacillati; Bacillota; Bacilli; Caryophanales; Staphylococcaceae
Description: bacterial SSU rRNA
Rfam family: Bacterial small subunit ribosomal RNA
Source: RNAcentral
AUGCAAGUCGAGCGAACUGACGAGGAGCUUGCUCCUUUGACGUUAGCGGCGGACGGGUGAGUAACACGUGGGUAACCUACCUAUAAGACUUGGAAUAACUCCGGGAAAACCGGGGCUAAUGCCGGAUAACAUAUCGAACCGCAUGGUUCGAUAGUGAAAGACGGUCUUGCUGUCACUUAUAGAUGGACCCGCGCCGUAUUAGCUAGUUGGUGAGGUAAUGGCUCACCAAGGCAACGAUACGUAGCCGACCUGAGAGGGUGAUCGGCCACACUGGAACUGAGACACGGUCCAGACUCCUACGGGAGGCAGCAGUAGGGAAUCUUCCGCAAUGGGCGAAAGCCUGACGGAGCAACGCCGCGUGAGUGAUGAAGGUCUUCGGAUCGUAAAGCUCUGUUGUUAGGGAAGAACAAAUGUGUAAGUAACUGUGCACAUCUUGACGGUACCUAACCAGAAAGCCACGGCUAACUACGUGCCAGCAGCCGCGGUAAUACGUAGGUGGCAAGCGUUAUCCGGAAUUAUUGGGCGUAAAGCGCGCGUAGGCGGUUUUUUAAGUCUGAUGUGAAAGCCCACGGCUCAACCGUGGAGGGUCAUUGGAAACUGGAAAACUUGAGUGCAGAAGAGGAAAGUGGAAUUCCAUGUGUAGCGGUGAAAUGCGCAGAGAUAUGGAGGAACACCAGUGGCGAAGGCGGCUUUCUGGUCUGUAACUGACGCUGAUGUGCGAAAGCGUGGGGAUCAAACAGGAUUAGAUACCCUGGUAGUCCACGCCGUAAACGAUGAGUGCUAAGUGUUAGGGGGUUUCCGCCCCUUAGUGCUGCAGCUAACGCAUUAAGCACUCCGCCUGGGGAGUACGGUCGCAAGACUGAAACUCAAAGGAAUUGACGGGGACCCGCACAAGCGGUGGAGCAUGUGGUUUAAUUCGAAGCAACGCGAAGAACCUUACCAAAUCUUGACAUCUUUUGACCACUCUAGAGAUAGAGUUUUCCUCUUCGGAGGACAAAAUGACAGGUGGUGCAUGGUUGUCGUCAGCUCGUGUCGUGAGAUGUUGGGUUAAGUCCCGCAACGAGCGCAACCCUUGAGCUUAGUUGCCAUCAUUAAGUUGGGCACUCUAAGUUGACUGCCGGUGACAAACCGGAGGAAGGUGGGGAUGACGUCAAAUCAUCAUGCCCCUUAUGAUUUGGGCUACACACGUGCUACAAUGGACAAUACAAAGGGCAGCGAAACCGCGAGGUCAAGCAAAUCCCAUAAAGUUGUUCUCAGUUCGGAUUGUAGUCUGCAACUCGACUACAUGAAGCUGGAAUCGCUAGUAAUCGUAGAUCAGCAUGCUACGGUGAAUACGUUCCCGGGUCUUGUACACACCGCCCGUCACACCACGAGAGUUUGUAACACCCGAAGCCGGUGGAGUAACCAUUUGAGCUAGCC